GACGAACGCUGGCGGCGUGCUUAACACAUGCAAGUCGAACGGAAAGGCCCUGCUUGCAGGGUGCUCGAGUGGCGAACGGGUGAGUAACACGUGGGUGAUCUGCCCCUUACUUUGGGAUAAGCCUGGGAAACUGGGUCUAAUACUGGAUAGGACCAUGCUGUAGGUGGUGUGGUGGAAAGAUUAGUUUCGGUAAGGGAUGAGCUCGCGGCCUAUCAGCUUGUUGGUGGGGUAAUGGCCUACCAAGGCGUCGACGGGUAGCCGGCCUGAGAGGGUGGACGGCCACAUUGGGACUGCGAUACGGCCCAGACGCCUACGGGAGGCAGCAGUGGGGAAUAUUGCACAAUGGGCGCAAGCCUGAUGCAGCGACGCCGCGUGGGGGAUGACGGCCUUCGGGUUGUAAACUCCUUUCAGCCAUGACGAAGCCCUUGUGGUGACGGUAGUGGUAGAAGAAGCACCGGCUAACUACGUG
Molecule: ribosomal RNA, 469 nt
Filed under: uncultured bacterium
Lineage: Bacteria
Description: partial 16S ribosomal RNA
Rfam family: Bacterial small subunit ribosomal RNA
Source: RNAcentral